RNAcentral lists this transfer RNA (65 nucleotides) under Derotettix mendosensis. RNAcentral's name for it is "tRNA-Leu". Lineage: Eukaryota; Metazoa; Arthropoda; Insecta; Hemiptera; Cicadidae. The record is from RNAcentral.
ACUAUUUUAGCAUAUUAGUGCUUCAAUUUUAGAAUUUGGCUAAGUAGUUUUAACUACAAAUAGUA